RNA transcript from Globicephala melas (long-finned pilot whale), 1656 nucleotides. It is a transcript of the gene named progestin and adipoQ receptor family member 6, with no coding region annotated. NCBI's taxonomy places the organism in Eukaryota, Metazoa, Chordata, Mammalia, Artiodactyla, Delphinidae. The record is from RefSeq and is a predicted model, not a curated record.
UGCUCCGGCCGGCCCCUCCCCCAUUUCCAUGGCUCCAGCACAAACUACUUCAGAGACCUCUGAACCCCAGUGCUGAGGGAAGGGACCCUGAGGGGAGCUAGACGCCAGCAUCUUCCUGGUCCACCCCUCCCCCAGGCAGCUUGGGCCGCACUCAGGAUAGGUCAGAAUACCCCCAUCCCACUUCCGGGAGGGGUCAUCUAUCUUAGUUUCUUUUUGUUUUUUGGCUGCGCCCCGAGGCUUGUGGUAGUGGGAUCUUAGCUCCCCGACCCGGGAUCAAACCCAGACCCUCGGCAGUGAAAGCACAGAGUCCUAACCACUGGACCGCCAGGGAAUUCCCGGGGUCAUCUAUCAAAUCUCAGCCAGGGUGCAGGGACUAGGGACCAGGUCGGCCUUGUGCCCAGCAGGGUCCCCAGCACCCAGCUCAAGGGCAGAGGGCCCCCAAAAUGUUGAAAGACAGGAACAGAGGCUUGGGGUUCAGGCUGGCGGUGUGAGGGCCCAGAGUGUGUGCGGAGCAAACAUGCACACAGAGAGUAGGCAAAGCGAUGACAGGAAGAGGCACGGGGCGGGGCUGGAAAGUUUUGGCCUGGAGAGGUGGGAGGAGUGUCCUGUUCUCCCUCCUCCUGGGGCAGCUCCACCCGCCCUGGUGGCCCAGCCCAUCCACUUGUGCCAAGGAAUGUGCCUGGGAGAGGCAGCCUGGGAGGCGGGCGGGCGGGGCAGCAAAGCUGCGGCCACCCGGAGGCAGCACACAGGUCUGAGGCUGAGGGGCCGGGGCUCAGGUGGGGCAGGGACCCCAAAUGCCCCCCCCCGGGGCACACGUGUAGUCUUCAGAGAAGAGCCAGGCAUCCCCCUAAUUCCUUGUCCCACCGGUAGGCAUCUGGCCUCUCCAAGAAUUCUCCCUGAGCACCCUAAGUUUUCUGUGCUCAGCCCAGGCACUGUGAGCCAAGGAGCUUUCUGGUGCUGGCGAUGGCGGUGGUGGUGUGUGCUUAGGCGCUCUCUGUGCUGGCCUCCGUCAACGUGGAGGUGCCGGGCCACCAUGCUCAGUCUCAAGCUGCCCCAACUCCUUCGCGUCCACCAGGUCCCCAGGGUGUUCUGGGAAGAUGGUAUCAUGUCUGGCUACCGCCGCCCCACCAGCUCGGCCUUGGACUGUGUCCUCAGCUCCUUCCAGAUGACCAACGAGACCGUCAACAUCUGGACUCACUUCCUGCCCACUUGGUACUUCCUGUGGCGCCUCCUGGCGCUGGCGGGAGGCCAGGGCUUCCGGUCGGAGCCCUACCACUGGCCGCUGCUCGUCUUCCUGCUGCCCGCCUGCCUCUACCCGUUUGCGUCGUGCUGCGCGCACACCUUCAGCUCCAUGUCACCCCGCGCGCGUCACAUCUGCUACUUCCUGGACUACGGCGCGCUCAGCCUCUACAGCCUGGGUUCCCAGAGCUAGAAAGCCCUGCGCUCAGUAAGAUCCUCCGCACGGCUGCCUUCACCUAUCCCUUUCUGUUCGACAACCUCCCGCUCUUCUAUCGGCUCGGACUGUGCUGGGGCAGGGGCCACAGCUGUGGGCAGGAGGCACUGAGCACCAGCCACGGCUACCACCUCUUCUGCGCGUUGCUCACUGGCUUCCUGUUUGCUUCCCACCUGCCUGAGCGGCUGGCACCAGGACGCUUU